CUCCGGUUGAUCCUGCCGGACCCGACUGCUAUCGGAUUGAGAUUUAGCCAUGCGAGUCGAACGUCCCCCUGUUGCGGGGGGCGUGGCGUACGGCUCAGUAACACGUAGUCAACCUGCCCUGGAGACAAGGACAACCCCGGGAAACUGGGAUUAAUCCUUGAUAGGUCAUCUCAUCUGGAAGGAGAGAUGGCUUAAAGGGGUACGCGGGCUUCUUCCGCGAAUCUGCUCCAGGAUGGGACUGCGUCCGAUCAGGCUGUUGGCGGGGUAAUGGCCCACCAAACCUGUAACCGGUACGGGCCUUGAGAGAGGUGGCCCGGAGAUGGACACUGAGAGAAGGGUCCAGGUCCUACGGGGCGCAGCAGGCGCGAAACCUUCGCAAUGCGCGAAAGCGUGACGAGGUUAAUCCGAGUGACUCCCGCUGAGGGGGUCUUUUGUCAGCUGUAAAUAGGCAGGCGAAUAAGGGGAGGGCAAGCCUGGUGUCAGCCGCCGCGGUAAUACCAGCUCCUCGAGUGGUCGGGGCGAUUAUUGGGCCUAAAGCAUCCGUAGCCGGUUCCGUAGGUCCUCUGUUAAAUCCAACCGCUUAACGGUUGACCUGCAGAGGAUACCGCGGGACUAGGAGGCGGGAGAGGCGGACGGUACUCCGCGUGUAGGGGUAAAAUCCUUUGAUCCGCGGAAGACCACCAGUGGCGAAGGCGGUCCGCCAGAACGCGCUCGACGGUGAGGGAUGAAAGCUGGGGGAGCGAACCGGAUUAGAUACCCGGGUAGUCCCAGCCGUAAACGAUGCUAGCUAGAUGAUUCAUUCGCAAGUCGCGAAUGAAGUGUCGCAGGGAAGCCGUUAAGCUAGCCGCCUGGGGAGUACGGUCGCAAGACUGAAACUUAAAGAAUUUGGCGGGGGAGCA
RNAcentral lists this ribosomal RNA (899 nucleotides) under uncultured archaeon. Its description in RNAcentral is "bacterial SSU rRNA". It matches the Rfam family "Archaeal small subunit ribosomal RNA", at positions 1 to 878 of the family's 1478-position model. The record is from RNAcentral.